AUGUGGCAAAAUAAGAAACUGAGAAACCUUUUCUGUCAUUAUCGCAGGUCACUAAGGUCACAAAGAGAAAGAAAGACUCCUGCUCGUCCUCCCAUCCCCAUUCCUCUGAAAUUACAGCUCUCACAGCAUCACCACAGGAUCUGGACCAAACUGUGUUGCCUCCAAUAAACAGACGAAGAAGGCGGGGUCCGUUACCAUCGUGGCUGAAAAACAAAGAAGAGAGUGCCACCUACAUCACGGUGUUGACUGUGAGCACUGAGCAACUGUCACAACCCAGCUCCAGACAGGACAAAGAGGGGAGGACCACACACAUAAGCUAACUUAAAAAAGGUUUAUUUUGACCCGUAGAAAACAGAAAAGAAAACGACAAACCCAUGUGGGGAGGGAUUUGUGAAAUAUCAGCGGUGUCUGAGAAGCAUGGAUGAGUGGAAAAUGUGCUGUGGGGACUUUGUGUGGUGCAGAAAAUAAGCUAAAUAUAACUGAAUAAAAUGGAGACACACAUGCUUAUGAUCAUAAUGUUACAGUUUUGACAUUUGAGAUGUUACUCAUGUUACACAUGUUGUUUCUUCCAUCCUUCAUCAAUUUGUCCCAAUUUUAACCUCUCUGAUCUGACUGUUAUACAUUUUUAGCAAAAAUCUGCAGAAGCAGUCACCUGUUAUUAUCUGUUUUAUAUGUAAAUUUAAAGGUUUGGUAAAUAUAAUAAUUAUUUCUAACCUUAAUGGGCAUCUGUUCAUGCAGUUUGUUCUGUCAGACAUUUUGACACGUCAUCGCAAGGCAAACACAGAUAUGUUAUCAGCUACUUGUGCUAGUCCUGCGAUGACAAGUCAAAAUGUCUGUUAUGAAAAAGGUCUGUGGAGUUGAAUGGGAUUAGCAUUUGAUUUUAUUUUUAUUUCUCAGGCCAUAUCAGUUAUUGUAGGAAAGGAACGCUCCCAUGGUUCUUUCAGAGAAAAUGAGAAUCGGAUGUAGCCUUGUGAUUACAAGCUAAAAUAUGUUUGUCAGGAUAUUAAAUAGGAGCAGGAGAAGGGACUUUCUGGAGGCCAGGAUUAUAAAAAUAAAUUUAGACUGCAG
This 1068-nucleotide long non-coding RNA is filed under the name Dicentrarchus labrax (European seabass). RNAcentral describes it as "lncRNA (ENSDLAG00005032707.1)". Lineage: Eukaryota; Metazoa; Chordata; Actinopteri; Moronidae. The record is from RNAcentral.